GGGAGAGAGAGAGACAAGCGGAGGCUGGGGGCUGGUGAACUCAUCGAGAUAUCCUUCGUUAUGAUUGUGAACUUGGCAGCGAUUGUUUAGCGUAAAUAAUCACGGUCGCCAAUAACCAGUAACACCUGCCAGCCCAUUACCCGGAACAGGAGGAGAAGACGGGCAUCUCCAGCGAAAUUCCACCGCGGCAAUAUGGAAGUAUUUAAAGGAAGACCUGCACCGCUCAGGGUAGCAGAGAUCUGAACUUUUAAAUUACAGCCAUUCCCGGCCUGACGAUAAGUAAAUAAACAAUUCACAGCUGCAUGGGCUAAACACAGAAACACAUCUAUCUCUUCCAGGCGUGAUUGCUGAACAAGUAAUUAAGUGCGAAAUGUGAGCCCUCAAUGUCAGUGUGAGAUGAUAAAGGUCUCCAGUUGUAAAUUAACUGAACUCCAGUGAGCCCUCGAUAUUAACCCUUCAGGAGCCCUUGGGUGGCAAUGGGUGCGUUAGCAUGACUCCGGUGCAAUUUGCGUGCAAUUAUUCCUGACAUUUGCCCCUGGGAAUAUGGAGCUGUUAUUCUAACAAAUUAAAAAAACAAGUGAGGGAGUUGCUUUCUCUCUUCUCUCUGAGCUAGCACAGGGCACCCCGUAAGACAGGAGAUGUAGUCCCAGUUCAUGUCUCUGCCACGCUCGUCCAUCACAUUCCCCUGUGGCAGUCUUCCUCCUGGCGAUAGCAGAGGUGUCACAAAACCAAAAUACAUUAAAGCCUGUGAGCUGCUCAAGCACCGAGAUAAAGAGGACUGCUAACUCAGAUGGGCAGAUAUCCAUCAGUGCCUCGAAAUCAGUACACCACGAUUCACCUUGAGAAUAAGGAUCCAAUGAAUGACCAUAAAUUGAAAUAUCACCACUUGUUAAACAAUCCAAUCCUGGCUGAAGCCAAAGCUACACAGUCCAUCUGAAAUCCCACCUGCAAUUCUGCAACCGCUUGUUGUGUAAAUAAGUGAAGCUGCUCCUCCCAAAGUGUUUUUUAGCUGGUGUCCUUGGGGAUUUAAGGCUUAUGCAAUCCUUGUGUCUGUGUUGUAUCUGUGUAUCCAUCUGUCAAAUUUGAUCAAUGAGCCAGAGUCUCCCAAAAUAUUAACUUCCUACAUGUUUCAUAAAAAUAGUUAGGGCAGAAAUUUGCAUUAAUGUCUUCCUUAAAGGGAAAGCUGGGGUGGAUGUCCAUGCUGUAGAAAUAAUAUGCAAAUCCACAGGGCAAGAAAUUAGGCUCACAGCACAAAUCCUUAAUUUUUCUCAUAAAACGACAUGCUUAAAAAAUAGCUAUAUAAACAAGAAGUAGAAAGACCUGCAAGUUUCAGCCUGGUACAGGCUGUGAAGUCAGGCAGUGGUUUGGGGGUGCCAGUACAUAUAGGCUGGCAUGAGCACACAUUUAAGUUGUGUGUACUCCUAAAGGGCACAGGCAAAGCUGGCCGUAUUUUCUUCUCUGGAAGAUGCAUUUUGCAGAGACUAAUUUUUUCUAAGGGAGUCAUAAAAGAAACGUAUAGAUGAUAACGAACAGAUUCUCAGCUGUGUCAAACCCUGGAACACUGCUAUGGAAAUGUGAAGAGCUGUAGAGGUUCAACAUCUUUGAAAAUCUGAUAUAUUUCUGAAUAUUUCUAGUCAGCUUCCUCCACCAAAGGGAUAUGAAAUUUUCCAAAUCUGUGCCAAACUCUGACGUUCACGAACUGUUUCUCAAGUGGAUUUGGAUGAUGUAACCAAUAAUCAUGAAACUCUCCUCCACUUUCUAAAUUACAUCUGGUUGAGAUGAGUUUCUAUACGGAUAAUACAAUGAAAAUGUGAAAGACUAUAUUUGUUCUAAACCUUAUUAUGCAGUGUGUUACAACAUAAAAGUCCCUAUGGUAACAUGGCAUAAUCUAAAGCAACUGCGUGUUCACACACGAGAGAUCCUACAGUUUUGCCAUUUUGUUCUUAAUUACCCCUGGUGAAUAAACUAGUUGAAAGACUGAGCCAACUUCUCCAUCCUCAAAAUCAAUGGAGCAAUGCUGAUUUACAUCAGCUGCAAUCCUUGACUGCAGUUUACAAAAUAGUUAUCAAUUAAUUUCCUGCAUCAUUUCUCCAGAAGCACAGUGGAAGUGCAGUCUGACUUUUUUUUGACCUCCAAUGCAGCAAGUUAUCUUCAUGCAGAAAUUAUUUAAGCACAUGUUUAACUGCAAGCAAAUGGUUAAACAUGUCUUUGAGGUUCAGAUAUGUGCCUGAGUGUUGUUAAAAUGGGACAUUGGGGGAAGCAUCCACCUGGUUUGUAUGUUCACUCAAGAAGAUGAUCUUUGCACAACCGACAAAGGACUUACCAGCUCUUAAUGAUAAUAAUGCCUCUCGUUGCUUCUUUUGGCAAUAAUUUUGCAAGUCUCUCUCAGAAGAAUUAGAUCACAGUCAGUCCCACCUUAACUACAUAUUUGCUAGCUGAAUAAACAGGAUGAAAUUGGACCGAUGGUCAAGUCUGCUGGCAGAAUCGAGCGCUUUCAGUGCUGUAAGACUGGUUCCAAGGGUGCAGGGUAUUCAACCAGCCUCUCGCAUCCCAGGUUUUGCCCUCUGCUAAAAUUAUGUCCCAGCAAAUGUUUUCAGUGCUGCCCUCACCAUCGCUACCAGUAAUGUGCAAACCAGAAAGACAAAUUCAUUCAUAUUUUAAAUAGCAAUCUCAGCAAUAUUAAUUGCACAAUAAAGAAGAAUUUGUUC
Harpia harpyja (harpy eagle) is the source of this 2708-nucleotide long non-coding RNA. RefSeq lists it as uncharacterized. The transcript has 3 exons. NCBI's taxonomy places the organism in Eukaryota, Metazoa, Chordata, Aves, Accipitriformes, Accipitridae. The record is from RefSeq and is a predicted model, not a curated record.